RNAcentral lists this ribosomal RNA (109 nucleotides) under Polynucleobacter sp. Fw70-25. RNAcentral's name for it is "partial 16S rRNA". It matches the Rfam family "Bacterial small subunit ribosomal RNA", at positions 376 to 478 of the family's 1533-position model. The record is from RNAcentral. Lineage: Bacteria; Pseudomonadati; Pseudomonadota; Betaproteobacteria; Burkholderiales; Burkholderiaceae.
GGCAACCCUGAUCCAGCAAUGCCGCGUGAGUGAAGAAGGCCUUCGGGUUGUAAAGCUCUUUUGUCAGGGAAGAAACACCGGCUCUAACACAGUCCGGGAAUGACGGUAC